UACGUUCCCGGGCCUUGUACACACCGCCCGUCACACCACGAGAGUUUGUAACACCCGAAGUCGGUGAGGUAACCUUUUUGGAACCAGUCGCCGAAGGUGGGACAAAUGAUUGGGGUG
Molecule: ribosomal RNA, 117 nt
Filed under: uncultured bacterium
Lineage: Bacteria
Description: partial 16S ribosomal RNA
Rfam family: Bacterial small subunit ribosomal RNA
Source: RNAcentral